UACGUAGGGUGCAAGCGUUGUCCGGAAUUAUUGGGCGUAAAGAGCUCGUAGGCGGUUUGUCGCGUCGAAUGUGAAAACCCGGGGCUCAACCCCGGGCCUGCAUUCGAUACGGGCAGACUAGAGUUCGGUAGGGGAGUCUGGAAUUCGUGGUGUAGCGGUGAAAUGCGCAGAUAUCAGGAGGAACACCGGUGGCGAAGGCGGUUCUCUGGGCAUUACCUGACGCUGAGGAGCGAAAGUGUGGGGAGCGAACAGG
RNAcentral lists this ribosomal RNA (253 nucleotides) under uncultured bacterium. Its description in RNAcentral is "partial 16S ribosomal RNA". It matches the Rfam family "Bacterial small subunit ribosomal RNA", at positions 524 to 776 of the family's 1533-position model. The record is from RNAcentral.